This 586-nucleotide ribosomal RNA is filed under the name uncultured bacterium. RNAcentral's name for it is "bacterial SSU rRNA". It matches the Rfam family "Bacterial small subunit ribosomal RNA", at positions 338 to 916 of the family's 1533-position model. The record is from RNAcentral.
CCUACGGGAGGCAGCAGUGGGGAAUUUUGGACAAUGGGCGAAAGCCUGAUCCAGCAAUGCCGCGUGCAGGAAGAAGGCCUUCGGGUUGUAAACUGCUUUUGUACGGAACGAAACGGUCUGCUUUAAUACAGUGGGCUAAUGACGGUACCGUAAGAAUAAGCACCGGCUAACUACGUGCCAGCAGCCGCGGUAAUACGUAGGGUGCGAGCGUUAAUCGGAAUUACUGGGCGUAAAGCGUGCGCAGGCGGUUAUAUAAGACAGUUGUGAAAUCCCCGGGCUCAACCUGGGAAUUGCAUCUGUGACUGUAUAGCUAGAGUACGGUAGAGGGGGAUGGAAUUCCGCGUGUAGCAGUGAAAUGCGUAGAUAUGCGGAGGAACACCGAUGGCGAAGGCAAUCCCCUGGACCUGUACUGACGCUCAUGCACGAAAGCGUGGGGAGCAAACAGGAUUAGAUACCCUGGUAGUCCACGCCCUAAACGAUGUCAACUGGUUGUUGGGUGCAUUAGUACUCAGUAACGAAGCUAACGCGUGAAGUUGACCGCCUGGGGAGUACGGCCGCAAGGUUGAAACGUCAAAGGAAUUGACGG